GAUGAACGCUGACAGAAUGCUUAACACAUGCAAGUCUACUUGAAUUUGGGUUUUUAACUUAGGUUUGGGUGGCGGACGGGUGAGUAACGCGUAAAGAACUUGCCUCACAGCUAGGGACAACAUUUAGAAAUGAAUGCUAAUACCUAAUAUUAUGAUAAUAGGGCAUCCUAUAAUUAUGAAAGCUAUAAGCGCUGUGAGAGAGCUUUGCGUCCCAUUAGCUAGUUGGAGAGGUAACGGCUCACCAAGGCGAUGAUGGGUAGCCGGCCUGAGAGGGUGAUCGGCCACAAGGGGACUGAGACACGGCCCUUACUCCUACGGGAGGCAGCAGUGGGGAAUAUUGGACAAUGGACCGAGAGUCUGAUCCAGCAAUUCUGUGUGCACGAUGAAGUUUUUCGGGAUGUAAAGUGCUUUCAGUUGGGAAGAAAGAAAUGACGGUACCAACAGAAGAAGUGACGGCUAAAUACGUGCCAGCAGCCGCGGUAAUACGUAUGUCACGAGCGUUAUCCGGAUUUAUUGGGCGUAAAGCGCGUCUAGGUGGUUAUAUAAGUCUGAUGUGAAAAUGCAGGGCUCAACUCUGUAUUGCGUUGGAAACUGUAUAACUAGAGUACUGGAGAGGUAAGCGGAACUACAAGUGUAGAGGUGAAAUUCGUAGAUAUUUGUAGGAAUGCCGAUGGGGAAGCCAGCUUACUGGACAGAUACUGACGCUGAAGCGCGAAAACGUGGGUAGCAAACAGG
Molecule: ribosomal RNA, 735 nt
Filed under: uncultured Fusobacterium sp.
Lineage: Bacteria; Fusobacteriati; Fusobacteriota; Fusobacteriia; Fusobacteriales; Fusobacteriaceae
Description: bacterial SSU rRNA
Rfam family: Bacterial small subunit ribosomal RNA
Source: RNAcentral